GACGAACGCUGGCGGCGUGCCUAACACAUGCAAGUCGAGCGAUUCAGAAGUCGGAUAUCAAUCCGACCCCUGGAUAGCGGCGGACGGGUGAGCAACACGUGGGUAAUCUGCCCUACGGACCGGGAUAACACACCGAAAGGGGUGCUAAUACCGGAUAAAGUCAUCAUAUGGCAUCAUAAGAUGAAGAAAGGAGAAAUCCGCCAAAGGAGGAGCCCGCGUCCCAUUAGUUAGUUGGCGGGGUAAAGCCCACCAAGGCGACGAUGGGUAGCCGGCCUGAGAGGGUGAACGGCCACACUGGAACUGAGACACGGUCCAGACUCCUACGGGAGGCAGCAUG
This 337-nucleotide ribosomal RNA is filed under the name uncultured bacterium. Its description in RNAcentral is "bacterial SSU rRNA". It matches the Rfam family "Bacterial small subunit ribosomal RNA", at positions 28 to 355 of the family's 1533-position model. The record is from RNAcentral.